Molecule: ribosomal RNA, 442 nt
Filed under: uncultured bacterium
Lineage: Bacteria
Description: bacterial SSU rRNA
Rfam family: Bacterial small subunit ribosomal RNA
Source: RNAcentral
CUACGGGAGGCAGCAGUAGGGAAUCUUGCGCAAUGGGCGAAAGCCUGACGCAGCAACGCCGCGUGCGGGAUGACGGCCUUCGUGGUUGUAAACCGCUUUCAGCAGGGACGAAAAUGACGGUACCUGCAGAAGAAGUCCCGGCUAACUACGUGCCAGCAGCCGCGGUAAUACGUAGGGGACAAGCGUUGUCCGGAUUCAUUGGGCGUAAAGAGCUCGUAGGCGGUCUAGUAAGUUGGGUGUGAAAGCUCCGGGCCCAACCCGGAGAGGUCACCCAAAACUGCUAUGACUAGAGUCCAGUAGAGGAGCGUGGAGUUCCUGGUGUAGCGGUGAAAUGCGCAGAUAUCAGGAGGAACACCAGCAGCGAAGGCGGCGCUCUGGGCUGGAACUGACGCUGAGGAGCGAAAGCAUGGGUAGCAAACAGGAUUAGAUACCCUUGUAGUCC